This 253-nucleotide ribosomal RNA is filed under the name uncultured bacterium. RNAcentral describes it as "partial 16S ribosomal RNA". It matches the Rfam family "Bacterial small subunit ribosomal RNA", at positions 524 to 776 of the family's 1533-position model. The record is from RNAcentral.
UACGUAGGGAGCAAGCGUUGUCCGGAAUCAUUGGGCGUAAAGCGCGCGUAGGUGGCCUCGUAAGUCCGCUGUGAAAGUCAAAGGCUCAACCUUUGAAAGCCGGUGGAUACUGUGAGGCUAGAGUACGGAAGAGGCGAGUGGAAUUCCUGGUGUAGCGGUGGAAUGCGCAGAUAUCAGGAGGAACACCAAUAGCGAUGGCAGCUCGCUGGGACGUUACUGACACUGAGGCGCGAAAGCGUGGGGAGCGAACAGG